RNAcentral lists this long non-coding RNA (2004 nucleotides) under Olea europaea subsp. europaea. The record is from RNAcentral. Lineage: Eukaryota; Viridiplantae; Streptophyta; Magnoliopsida; Lamiales; Oleaceae.
UGAAAAGAAGCCCUAAAAUUUUCAAUUGGUUCAUCUUUUCUUGCAACCACUCCCACCAACAAGAAGGCAGAAGCCCUAAUCUCUCUAGUCUCUUCCGUCAUUUUCUCUCAAAACCCCACGACGAUUUGACGAACUUCGUCUCUCUAAACCCAACGUCGAAGUCGAACGUCCACACUCCAGCUUCAGUGGUAGUCUGGUAGAGUAUGUAUACUUCGUUAUUUUCUAUUCGUAUUUUCUUUUUUUCUUCUUUUUUUCUUUUUUGUUAUAAAUGCAGAAACUGCAAAUCUGCAAUAAACUUCAGGAAUUAAGAAUUGCUUGGCCAUUCUCAAUUUUGGGUGUGUUUUGAUCGACUUAAAGGGAAAUAUAUCUAUGCAUUCGCAAGUCCCUUAUACAAAAUAGGAAAAGGCUCUUCCCUGUAUUCGUUAUGGAUGCCCUUCUUUUAUUGAGUGGGUUGCUUUGAAUUGAAACCCUGGAUGCGAAGAGAUGCUGUUUCUGGAUAUUAGGUGUCAUGCCGAGUCUGAUUAGAAAAUUUCUGGUUUACAAAUAUGGAUUUAAGCUCGUGAAUUUUAGGGGCCUUUUGAUUUCUCUUGAGGUUGCCAAUAGUUAAUUCCUGGAGGUUGUACUGGGGAAGAAGUUAAACUAAUAACUAGUGGAGUGGGUCGGGUGGGAGGGGGAUUAAUGUAAAUGUAAUUCAUCCAAUUUAGUUAAACUAAUAACUAGUCACUUUGUUUCAGCCACAUAUAUAUAAUUGUUAUUGGAUAGUUAUUUGAUGGAUAUUUGGUGGACUAUACUAUUUUAUGUUUUAAAUUUAUUGAUGUUGGAAGACUAUAUUAAUGUUGUUUUAAAUUUAGUGUUUUGGUGACUUUAAUAUUUGUUUACAGGUUGUCCCAACCCGACCAACCCAAUCCAAACUGACUGACAUUUGGUUGGGUUGGGUUGAACAUCAAUCAAACCGAUCACGUUGGGUUGGGAUAAAAAUUGACCCAACCCAACCCACGCCCACCCCUACUCACAGCAUUCCCAUGAAAACAAAAAGGUUGAAGGUUGACACUUUCUUCUUCCUUAACUUCAACCCACACCGGUCAUCAUUGGAACCCACAUUGCCAAUCGUUAUCGGCACCGCUUUCCGAAGACAAUCUCCACCACUCAAAGGACGUAGGGUAGACUAUGAAAAUUGAAAAUGUCGAUGUGCAAAAUAUGAAGUCAAAAUUAGAGCAAUUUGUGACACAAUUGAAUCAAUUGAGGGUAUACUCAUCAUUAUUUGGUGUUGUUGAGGGAUUAUGGGUUGAAUUUGGUGUAAAAAGACCAAUUUUGUGGAAACAAUACCCAAACCAUGUGAAUUGAUGGAAUUGCCUCGUUUUGUUGUCAAGCCAAACCUCUGUCAAAUGGAGCUGUUUUUGGACGAUGUCUCACCAUGAAUUGGAGCACCUGAAUGAGAUGAAUCGAUUGGCAACAAUGCCCGACUAUAUGUGCCAUUGGAGUUACCGAAUUUUAAAGUAGGACCGCACAACUAUAUGAGUUUUCUUGGUUUUAUUUUCAAAUGUACAGUGACAAAUAUGGUGGCAAUAGACGGAGACAGAAUUGUUAGUGGGUGGGGGUGAUGGCGACAGUGUGGGUCGAAGGUGGUGCGGUGACUGUUUUGGGUAAGGUUUGCCAGAGAAGAAGAAGAUAGGCGGUUUUGAUUGGGGAUGGGGUCUUUUUGGUUUUUUAUUUUUUAUUCCUAAUUUUUUUUUAUUUUUUAUAAUAUGAAAUUAACUAAGUUACCAUUUUAUCCUAACCAAAUUUGGUCAAUAUUAAUUCUUUGGCCAACUAACGGUCAAAGGGAUGGUUUUAAUCUAGUUGGACCUCUACUGCAUAUUUUCCAAAGGUUAAGGACCUUCGUUGGCACAAAACGAAGGUUAAGGUAAAGUUUGCAAAAAUUGAAAAUAUUUGAAAUCGUUGCUUCAAUUUUCCUUUUAAACUUUUCAAAAUGUCAAUUUGAUUUUUACGUAUAUCACAAUGAAU